This 207-nucleotide ribosomal RNA is filed under the name uncultured delta proteobacterium. RNAcentral's name for it is "partial 16S ribosomal RNA". It matches the Rfam family "Bacterial small subunit ribosomal RNA", at positions 568 to 774 of the family's 1533-position model. Lineage: Bacteria; Deltaproteobacteria. The record is from RNAcentral.
CGUGUAGGCGGCCUAAUGUGUCAGAUGUGAAAGCCCUGGGCUUAACCCAGGAAGUGCAUUUGAAACUGUUAGGCUUGAGUAGGGGAGAGGGAAGUGGAAUUCCUGGUGUAGAGGUGAAAUUCGUAGAUAUCAGGAGGAACACCGGUGGCGAAGGCGACUUCCUGGCCCUAUACUGACGCUGAGACGCGAGAGCGUGGGUAGCAAACA